This 223-nucleotide ribosomal RNA is filed under the name uncultured bacterium. RNAcentral describes it as "partial 16S ribosomal RNA". It matches the Rfam family "Bacterial small subunit ribosomal RNA", at positions 28 to 248 of the family's 1533-position model. The record is from RNAcentral.
GACGAACGCUGGCGGCGUGCUUAACACAUGCAAGUCGAGCGACUGCAUUCUUUUCGGAGGGUGUAUGGAGCGGCGAACGGGUGAGUAACACGUGAGUAAUCUGCCUUUGGCUUGGGAAUAACUUCGGGAAAUCGGGGCUAAUGCCUGAUGUUUACUGUCUGCUGCAUGGUGGGUGGUGGAAAGAUUUUUUGGCCGAGGACGGAGCUCGCGGUCUAUCAGCUUG